CCCCGGGCCCUUCUGAGACAUUACCUAACCGCGCCUUCUUACCUAAUCCCCUAGCCAUCCCCUGCCGCUGCCUGGAGGGGAGCCAGAUGCCUGCCACCGCCCCAGCCGCCUGGGCCCCACCAGCCUGGGCUCAAGCCUGGGCUUGCCUCUGGCCACCUGUGUGUCCUGGGCCUGUCUCCCACCUGCGAAUGGCACCAGAGACCGCUCGGCUAAAGUAGCUCCAUGCCCUCUGGGCCCUGCUUUCCUCACCCCCGCAAGCCAAGAUGGGGAUGCCCUGUUGUCCGGAAACUGCUCAGGAGCAUCUGACCCGUGCUCGAGCAGCAGCCUGGCCCCCGCCUGCCUGUCGCCUGCACCCGGAUUGAAUUCAGCUAUGGUUUCACUGCUGUCACUCAGAAGAAUGGUCUCAUUCAGGCCACCUGCUCCCUGGCUGGACAGCUCACAUCCCCCUCCCGCCUGGGCACAGAGGCCCAAGCCCCUGACCACCCUGCCCUGCACAGGCCUGUCCCUCCAGGCAGAGCUAUCCAGUGUGGC
RNAcentral lists this long non-coding RNA (531 nucleotides) under Homo sapiens (human). Its description in RNAcentral is "HSALNT0023258". The record is from RNAcentral. Lineage: Eukaryota; Metazoa; Chordata; Mammalia; Primates; Hominidae.